Molecule: long non-coding RNA, 509 nt
Organism: Conger conger (European conger)
Lineage: Eukaryota; Metazoa; Chordata; Actinopteri; Anguilliformes; Congridae
Exons: 3
Source: RefSeq, a predicted model, not a curated record
UGCAAAUAUUCUCAAACACAAUAAAUCACAUGGAAGUCCAGUGCGUGUGAAAACAGGCAAAUGCGUGUGUCUAGAGUUGGCAGCUAUGUUGUAGCUAGUGACUACGUUGUAGCAUAUCUAAAGAAAACCUAUAUAAAUGAUAGCACUCCCUUCACAGCUUUCAAUGUUGAUAAUUGUUUGAAGAUGAAUUAAUUAAACACAAUAAAUGAUUCAGCAAAAACGAGCAAACGCCUCCUUGAGCCAGUGGAAAAAAAAGGCGAGAAGGAAAACUGAAAGUAUUUCAAGCUAAUCGUCAAUUUGAAGACAGACGAGAACGAAGAGGCUGAAAAAGAAGAAAUAAAAUUUGAGAAAAGGACAGAGCUACUGGAGAGAAUAUGACAAGUCUUAUAUUUCUGCUGCAGCUGUUCAGUACUAUUGCUGCUGCUGAGAUCUCCAUGCCAGUGGUGGCACCCCCGGGAAGUGACAUCACCCUCAGCUGUUUUUGUCCACUCAGUGACACUGGCCAACUC